AGAGAGGUGGCCGAGUGGCUGAAGGCGCACGCUUGGAAAGCGUGUAUAUGGUAACAUAUCGAGGGUUCGAAUCCCUUCCUCUCUGC
This 86-nucleotide transfer RNA is filed under the name Flavobacterium psychrophilum. RNAcentral's name for it is "tRNA-Ser". It matches the Rfam family "tRNA". From Rfam's summary of the family: Transfer RNA (tRNA) molecules are approximately 80 nucleotides in length. The record is from RNAcentral. Lineage: Bacteria; Pseudomonadati; Bacteroidota; Flavobacteriia; Flavobacteriales; Flavobacteriaceae.